AUGUCUAAUCAUGGAAUAGUCAACGUUGAUGGGAAUCAGGCAAUUGUCAUAGGGUCAGUUGGUGGAAUAACUGCUGUCAUGGUUCUUGUGGUUCUUAUUAUUGUUGUGUGCAAGAGCAGGGGAAAAUGCUCCAAAGCAACAAAAGAGACAGGAAGCACACAACAUGGAGAGCAGGAUGCAGCAAGCCCUGUGUAUGCCAAUGUCUCAGGAAUGCCCAUGAGACCCACUGAUCAACAGGAUUUGACACUAUACUCCACAGUUCAACCCCAUUCCAAGAGCAGUAAAGAUGUUCUGUAUUCCACGGUGCAGCAACCAUACUCCCACAAUGAGGAUGAGCUUCAGUACUGCAGUAUUCAAUUCCCCACUACCAGUACUGGCAGCAGGUCAGCAGUUCAACAGAUACAAGAUAAUUCUGUCAUCUACAGCACAGUUUCCAAAAAAUAAGAAACAAUUCUCUUUACAUAUCAGUUGUCUUGACACAUUUCAAUGUUUUCAUCCAUGUUUUUGUACUACAUUAUUGCAUCUGCACCCAUUUUACUUUAAUAUUAUAUGUUACAGCUUAUCUUUUGUUGGUUUACUAUAGUAAAAACCUCAAGGGAAACUAUAGAAAUUGAUAUUUAUAAAGUUUUAUUCAUAUUGUGUUAUA
Molecule: long non-coding RNA, 646 nt
Filed under: Scleropages formosus (Asian bonytongue)
Lineage: Eukaryota; Metazoa; Chordata; Actinopteri; Osteoglossiformes; Osteoglossidae
Description: lncRNA (ENSSFOG00015031925.1)
Source: RNAcentral